UGGCCCCAGUGAGUAGGAGGGGCGCAGCGGUGUGCGCAGAAGGGAUUGGGCGUGAGCCUGCCUGGAGCCGCCGUUGGUGCAGAUCUUGGUGGUAGUAGCAAAUACUCGAGCGAUAUCCUGGAGAUCUGAUGUGGAGAAGGGUUCCAUGUGAACAGCCUUUGCACAUGGGUCAGUCUGUCCUAAGCUGCAGGAGAAAUCCGGGUUCUGGCGAAAUCGGUGCUCCCGCGUACUUUUAUACACGUGUCACCGCCAAACCUAAGCGAGAGGGAAUCCGGUACUGAUUCCGGAACCUGGUCACGGAUAACCCCUCUUCGGAGGGGGUCGUUGGGGUCCUUGUGACUUACACCGUAAGGUAGCUAAACUCGGGGAAGUCGGCCGCUGUCCCGGGCAGAGUUUUCUGUUCUGUAUAAG
RNAcentral lists this ribosomal RNA (411 nucleotides) under Xenoleberis sp. 3 HTMP-2021a. RNAcentral's name for it is "partial large subunit ribosomal RNA". It matches the Rfam family "Eukaryotic large subunit ribosomal RNA", at positions 1369 to 1707 of the family's 3401-position model. The record is from RNAcentral. Lineage: Eukaryota; Metazoa; Arthropoda; Ostracoda; Myodocopida; Cylindroleberididae.